AUUGAACGCUGGCGGCAUGCUUUACACAUGCAAGUCGAACGGUAACAGGUUAAGCUGACGAGUGGCGAACGGGUGAGUAAUGCAUCGGAACGUGCCCGAUCGUGGGGGAUAACACUUCGAAAGAAGUGCUAAUACCGCAUACGAUCUGAGGAUGAAAGCGGGGGACCGUAAGGCCUCGCGCGAUCGGAGCGGCCGAUGUCAGAUUAGGUAGUUGGUGGGGUAAAGGCUCACCAAGCCGACGAUCUGUAGCUGGUCUGAGAGGACGACCAGCCACACUGGGACUGGGAGACGGCGCAGACUCCUACGGGGGGCAGCAGUGGGGAAUUUUGGACAAUGGGCGCAAGCCUGAUCCAGCAAUGCCGCGUGCAGGAAGAAGGCCUUCGGGUUGUAAACUGCUUUUGUACGGAGCGAAAAGGCUCCCUCUAAUACAGGGGGCUCAUGACGGUACCGUAAGAAUAAGCACCGGCUAACUACGUGCCAGCCGCCGCGGUAA
Molecule: ribosomal RNA, 493 nt
Filed under: uncultured bacterium
Lineage: Bacteria
Description: partial 16S ribosomal RNA
Rfam family: Bacterial small subunit ribosomal RNA
Source: RNAcentral